Long non-coding RNA from Mytilus trossulus (common blue mussel), 409 nucleotides. RefSeq lists it as uncharacterized. The record is from RefSeq and is a predicted model, not a curated record. NCBI's taxonomy places the organism in Eukaryota, Metazoa, Mollusca, Bivalvia, Mytilida, Mytilidae. The transcript has 3 exons.
UACAGGCAAACGUAAAAGACGGCGAACGGUGUUCUACAGCAAGCUGUUUUCUAAGACCUAAGUUGUACAGAAGAAAUUUACAGGUUGCUACCAACAGCCACGUGACGAAGAUUAUUAUACGUAAUGGCGAAGCAAAAGGUGUUGUUGUAAUGAAAAAUGGAAAGAAGACCCGAAUAUAUGCAAGGGAAGAAGUUAUCAUUUCUGCAGGAGUGUUUGGAUCACCAAAAUUCCUGAUGUUGUCCGGCGUAGGACCAAAACACCACCUGAAAGAGUUAAGGGUACCACUGAAAGCAGAUCUUCCAGUAGGCGAAGGAAUGCAAUAUCAUAUGCAAUAUCAUUUCCAGUACUCAAUUAAUACACCUAUAAAUAUGAACAAAAAGAAGGCUUUAGACGAACAAUCCAUUAUGGA